Molecule: long non-coding RNA, 599 nt
Organism: Corticium candelabrum
Lineage: Eukaryota; Metazoa; Porifera; Homoscleromorpha; Homosclerophorida; Plakinidae
Exons: 4
Source: RefSeq, a predicted model, not a curated record
AGUUAGAUCCCGUAUGUUUAUCACGAGACCGUGAAUCAUCAUUUCUUUCGUUUCCUUGUUGCGUACCUUCGCUUGUUCUCUACUCAAUCGUUUCUCGAUGACCGUUAAAGUGCACGUGUCGUACUGUGGGGCCUGAGGAUACUUGCCCCGGUACGAGGAGCUCGCGAAACUGAUCAAAGCCUCAGUACCGGAUGCUGAAGUGUCUGGAAGCGUCGGGAAAACGCGUGACUUUGAGAUCACAGUUAAUGCCCAGCUCGUCUUUUCCAAGCAAGCGAAAGGCAAUUUCCCAAUUAUGAAAGAAGUUGUUGCAGCAGUGGAGAAGGCUAACAAGGGUGGAACAAUCUAUGAGGAUGAAAUCAAACCGCAAUCAUCAAGCUGCAUAAUUUUGUAGAACUCAAAGCACUGCGUCUGUGUUGUUGUCGUUAAGCUUUGCGGUAGUUAUAGAUUUACUUUCUGACUUUUCUUCGUUGUGGUUUUUCUUGCUGUUAUGACAGUCAUAGCCAGAAAUUUGUUGGCAUGACUUGAAGUUGUAGCAUUGACUAACCAAGUGGAAGGAAUUCUUACGUAAAUCGUUCAAUUAAAGAGUGGAUUUCUUGAAA